CGAGCAGUAGUUCGGCGCGGUAGAGCUUUCGCCUCAUAUGCGAAAAGACUCGGGUUCAACGCCGGGCUGCUUUG
RNAcentral lists this transfer RNA (74 nucleotides) under Toxocara canis (dog roundworm). It matches the Rfam family "tRNA". From Rfam's summary of the family: Transfer RNA (tRNA) molecules are approximately 80 nucleotides in length. Their secondary structure includes four short double-helical elements and three loops (D, anti-codon, and T loops). Further hydrogen bonds mediate the characteristic L-shaped molecular structure. tRNAs have two regions of fundamental functional importance: the anti-codon, which is responsible for specific mRNA codon recognition, and the 3' end, to which the tRNAs corresponding amino acid is attached (by aminoacyl-tRNA synthetases). tRNAs cope with the degeneracy of the genetic code in two manners: having more than one tRNA (with a specific anti-codon) for a particular amino acid; and 'wobble' base-pairing, i.e. permitting non-standard base-pairing at the 3rd anti-codon position. Lineage: Eukaryota; Metazoa; Nematoda; Chromadorea; Rhabditida; Toxocaridae. The record is from Rfam by way of RNAcentral.